Molecule: ribosomal RNA, 301 nt
Filed under: uncultured bacterium
Lineage: Bacteria
Description: partial 16S ribosomal RNA
Rfam family: Bacterial small subunit ribosomal RNA
Source: RNAcentral
CAGUAGCCGCGGGAAAACGAAGGGGGCUAGCGUUGCUCGGAAUUACUGGGCGUAAAGGGAGCGUAGGCGGACAUUUAAGUCAGGGGUGAAAUCCCGGGGCUCAACCUCGGAAUUGCCUUUGAUACUGGGUGUCUUGAGUAUGAGAGAGGUAUGUGGAACUCCGAGUGUAGAGGUGAAAUUCGUAGAUAUUCGGAAGAACACCAGUGGCGAAGGCGACAUACUGGCUCAUUACUGACGCUGAGGCUCGAAAGCGUGGGGAGCAAACAGGAUUAGAUACCCCGGUAGUCCCUGUCUCUUAUAA